RNAcentral lists this ribosomal RNA (496 nucleotides) under uncultured bacterium. RNAcentral describes it as "partial 16S ribosomal RNA". It matches the Rfam family "Bacterial small subunit ribosomal RNA", at positions 28 to 507 of the family's 1533-position model. The record is from RNAcentral.
GAUGAACGCUGGCGGCGUGCCUAAUACAUGCAAGUAGAACGCUGACGAGAGGAGCUUGCUCUUCUUGGAUGAGUUGCGAACGGGUGAGUAACGCGUAGGUAACCUGCCUUGUAGCGGGGGAUAACUAUUGGAAACGAUAGCUAAUACCGCAUAACAAUGGAUGACACAUGUCACUUAUUUGAAAGGGGCGAUUGCUCCACUACAAGAUGGACCUGCGUUGUAUUAGCUAGUAGGUGAGGUAAUGGCUAACCUAGGCGACGAUACAUAGCCGCCCUGAGAGGUGGACGGGCACCCCGGGACUGGAGACAGGGCCCAGACUCUUACGGGAGGAAGAGGAGGGGAACUUCGGCCAAGGGGGCAACCCCUGACGAAGAACGCCGGGUGGGGGGAGGAGGGUCUCGGAUCGGAAAGCUCUGUUUUUAGGCGAGGAAGGGGUUGAGAGUGAAAAGUGCACACUGUGACGGUAGCUGACCAGAAAGCAACGGCUAACUACGUG